RNAcentral lists this small RNA (740 nucleotides) under Rattus norvegicus (Norway rat). RNAcentral describes it as "uncharacterized LOC102552232". Lineage: Eukaryota; Metazoa; Chordata; Mammalia; Rodentia; Muridae. The record is from RNAcentral.
CAUUAUAGUAAGUUACUAACAUGCCCUCUCUCCAUCUCUCUGAUGCAGGAUUUUAUACACAAAGAGAAUGCUGAGAAAUAGCAACAGCUAACCUUGUUUUUGUCUGUACUCUGCUCUCUAUACAAAUGGACAUACAUAUCCACGAUAUCUUUCGAUCUGUAAAGAUGGAGGAAUUUUCCUGAUUUACCUAAGUGAAGAAGUAGGCCUUUAAGGCUCAUGUCAGCAUUUCAGGAGUGAUAAAUAAGCUGGUUUGCAGUACUUCAUGCAUGCAUUUUAAUGAUUAGAAGGGACUAUAAUUCUUCCUAGCCUUCCCCAAGUUCCACAGGAGUGAAGUCAUGGGCAUGAGACUACAUUAUCGGGUUCUUGGGAUCUCAUUUAAAGUUUUGAAUAUACACAUAGAGAUUGCAACAUAACAAGGGAACUUCCUUAAAAGAUUCUGAACUGGGGCCUUUUCUUCACACUGCACUGCUUCGUCCAGCAUUGCUACAAGGGGAGCUAUCUCGUCUUACUGCAACUUAAUAUGCCACAUUUGGUUGGUAGCCACUAGUGCCUACCAUUUUCUGCAGUGAAACAGAGGACAGAAACAAACUGAUCAUGGUAACCCACGGCAGGCCAGCCUCUAAAGGUGCUCACACCAACUCAAGACCUGCUCAUCUUAACUCCCUUGGUGUAGUAACUUUCACAUGUCUAACAUGUUUCUGUUUCAGUAUUUCAUUUUGCCUCCUCCAGUUUUGUAGACA